GACCAGGUACCCCUCACUGCCUCUAGACCAGGUACCCCUCACUGCCUCCCUCCCCUCCAGACCAGGUACCCCUCACUGCCUCCCUCCCCUCCAGACCAGGUACCCCUCACUGCCUCACUGCCUCUAGACCAGGUACCCCUCACUGCCUCUAGACCAGGUACCCCUCACUGCCUCUAGACCAGGUACCCCUCACUGCCUCUAGACCAGGUACCCCUCACUGCCUCCCUCCCCUCCAGACCAGGUACCCCUCACUGCCUCUAGACCAGGUACCCCUCACUGCCUCUAGACCAGGUACCCCUCACUGCCUCUAGACCAGGUACCCCUCACUGCCUCUAGACCAGGUACCCCUCCCUACCUCUAGACCAGGUACCCCUCACUGCCUCCCUACUACCCUCCACACACUUGCUGUACAGCCUGACCUGAGUGGUACGGUCCUGACCAACCUGUGUGUGUGUGUGUGUGUGUGUGUGUGUGUGUGUGUGUGUGUGUGUGUGUGUGUGUGUGUGUGUGUGUGUGUGUGUGUGUGUGUGUGUGUGUGUGUGUGUGUGUGUGUGUGUGUGUGUGUGUGUGUGUGUGU
Gadus macrocephalus (Pacific cod) is the source of this 577-nucleotide long non-coding RNA. RefSeq lists it as uncharacterized. The record is from RefSeq and is a predicted model, not a curated record. NCBI's taxonomy places the organism in Eukaryota, Metazoa, Chordata, Actinopteri, Gadiformes, Gadidae. The transcript is spliced from 3 exons.